UACAGAGGGGGCAAGCGUUGUUCGGAAUUACUGGGCGUAAAGGGCGCGUAGGCGGCCGCCUAAGUCAGACGUGAAAUCCCUCGGCUCAACCGGGGAACUGCGUCCGAUACUGGAAGGCUUGAAUCCGGGAGAGGGAUGCGGAAUUCCAGGUGUAGCGGUGAAAUGCGUAGAUAUCUGGAGGAACACCGGUGGCGAAGGCGGCAUCCUGGACCGGUAUUGACGCUGAGGCGCGAAAGCCAGGGGAGCAAACGGG
Molecule: ribosomal RNA, 253 nt
Filed under: uncultured bacterium
Lineage: Bacteria
Description: partial 16S ribosomal RNA
Rfam family: Bacterial small subunit ribosomal RNA
Source: RNAcentral